RNAcentral lists this ribosomal RNA (429 nucleotides) under Chloroflexota bacterium. RNAcentral's name for it is "Chloroflexi bacterium partial 16S ribosomal RNA". It matches the Rfam family "Bacterial small subunit ribosomal RNA", at positions 355 to 776 of the family's 1533-position model. Lineage: Bacteria; Bacillati; Chloroflexota. The record is from RNAcentral.
UGGGGAAUAUUGCACAAUGGGCGCAAGCCUGAUGCAGCCAUGCCGCGUGUAUGAAGAAGGCCUUCGGGUUGUAAAGUACUUUCAGCGGGGAGGAAGGGAGUAAAGUUAAUACCUUUGCUCAUUGACGUUACCCGCAGAAGAAGCACCGGCUAACUCCGUGCCAGCAGCCGCGGUAAUACGGAGGGUGCAAGCGUUAAUCGGAAUUACUGGGCGUAAAGCGCACGCAGGCGGUUUGUUAAGUCAGAUGUGAAAUCCCCAGGCUCAACCUGGGAACUGCAUCUGAUACUGGCAAGCUUGAGUCUCGUAGAGGGGGGUAGAAUUCCAGGUGUAGCGGUGAAAUGCGUAGAGAUCUGGAGGAAUACCGGUGGCGAAGGCGGCCCCCUGGACGAAGACUGACGCUCAGGUGCGAAAGCGUGGGGAGCAAACAGG